RNAcentral lists this ribosomal RNA (250 nucleotides) under uncultured bacterium. RNAcentral's name for it is "partial 16S ribosomal RNA". It matches the Rfam family "Bacterial small subunit ribosomal RNA", at positions 29 to 257 of the family's 1533-position model. The record is from RNAcentral.
AGCGAACGCUGGCGGCGUGCCUAACACAUGCAAGUCGAGCGAAGGCAUGAGUGUAGCGAUACACUGAUGUACUUAGCGGCGGACGGGUGAGUAACACGUGGAUAAUCUGCCCUGAGGACCGGGACAACUCUUGGAAACGGGAGCUAAUACCGGAUGUGACCACGAUGUCUGAGGACGUUGAGGUAAAAGGGUGGCCUGCAAGGGCUAUUGCCUUGGGAUGAGUUCACGACCCAUCAGGUAGUUGGGGGGU